AGGCAACAACUGUCAAUUCCCUA
RNAcentral lists this non-coding RNA (23 nucleotides) under Arabidopsis thaliana (thale cress). Lineage: Eukaryota; Viridiplantae; Streptophyta; Magnoliopsida; Brassicales; Brassicaceae. The record is from RNAcentral.